This 629-nucleotide ribosomal RNA is filed under the name uncultured Bacilli bacterium. RNAcentral describes it as "bacterial SSU rRNA". It matches the Rfam family "Bacterial small subunit ribosomal RNA", at positions 105 to 721 of the family's 1533-position model. The record is from RNAcentral. Lineage: Bacteria; Bacillati; Bacillota; Bacilli.
GGUGAGUAACACGUGGGUAACCUACCUCAUAGUGGGGGAUAACAGUCGGAAACGACUGCUAAUACCGCAUAGGACAUGGGAUCACAUGAUUCUGUGAGGAAAGGUGGCGCAAGCUAUCGCUAAGAGAUGGACCCGCGGUGCAUUAGCUAGUUGGUAGGGUAAGGGCCUACCAAGGCGAUGAUGCAUAGCCGACCUGAGAGGGUGAUCGGCCACAUUGGGACUGAGACACGGCCCAAACUCCUACGGGAGGCAGCAGUAGGGAAUCUUCCGCAAUGGACGCAAGUCUGACGGAGCAACGCCGCGUGAGUGAAGAAGGUCUUCGGAUCGUAAAGCUCUGUUGUUAGAGAAGAACAGCGCAUAGAGUAACUGUUAUGCGUGUGACGGUAUCUAACCAGAAAGCCACGGCUAACUACGUGCCAGCAGCCGCGGUAAUACGUAGGUGGCGAGCGUUGUCCGGAUUUAUUGGGCGUAAAGGGAGUGUAGGCGGUCUUUUAAGUCUGAUGUGAAAGCCCACGGCUCAGCCGUGGAGGGUCAUUGGAAACUGGGAGACUUGAGUGCAGAAGAGGAGAGCGGAAUUCCAUGUGUAGCGGUGAAAUGCGUAGAUAUAUGGAGGACACCAGUGGCGAAGG